Molecule: ribosomal RNA, 287 nt
Filed under: Astacoides betsileoensis
Lineage: Eukaryota; Metazoa; Arthropoda; Malacostraca; Decapoda; Parastacidae
Description: partial 12S ribosomal RNA
Source: RNAcentral
UAAUUUAGUCUUGUUAGAGAAACUUGUUUUAUAAAUGAUACAACACGAAAAAUCUUACUUGCUUUAGUAAAACAGUUUGUAUACCGUCAUUAUUAGAUAAUUUUUAUAGAAAAAAUUAUUUUAAUUAAGAAUUUAAAUAUAUUAGAUCAAGGUGCAGCUUAUAGGUAAGUAAAAAUGAGUUACAAUAAAAUUUAUUUAACACGAAUUAAUGAUUAUAAACAAUUAUGAAGGUGGAUUUAAUUGUAAUGAAAUUUUAAUAAGAUUUUAUGAUAUUAGAACUAAAUUGU